CAGUAGUCACGAGUUUGAUCCUGGCUCAGAUUGAACGCUGGCGGAAUGCUUUACACAUGCAAGUCGAACGGUAGAGGGGGCAACCCUUGAGAGUGGCGAACGGGUGAGUAAUAUAUCGGAACGUGCCCAGUCGUGGGGGAUAACGUAGCGAAAGUUACGCUAAUACCGCAUACGAUCUAUGGAUGAAAGCGGGGGAUCGCAAGACCUCGCGCGAUUGGAGCGGCCGAUAUCAGAUUAGGUAGUUGGUGAGGUAAAGGCUCACCAAGCCGACGAUCUGUAGCUGGUCUGAGAGGACGACCAGCCACACUGGGACUGAGACACGGCCCAGACUCCUACGGGAGGCAGCAGUGGGGAAUUUUGGACAAUGGGCGCAAGCCUGAUCCAGCAAUGCCGCGUGAGUGAUGAAGGCCUUCGGGUUGUAAAGCUCUUUUACUCGGGACGAUAAUGACGGUACCGAGAGAAUAAGCCCCGGCUAACUCCGUG
Molecule: ribosomal RNA, 483 nt
Filed under: uncultured bacterium
Lineage: Bacteria
Description: bacterial SSU rRNA
Rfam family: Bacterial small subunit ribosomal RNA
Source: RNAcentral